UGGGGAAUUUUGGACAAUGGGCGAAAGCCUGAUCCAGCAAUGCCGCGUGUGUGAAGAAGGCCUUCGGGUUGUAAAGCACUUUUGUCCGGAAAGAAAUCCUUGGCUCUAAUACAGUCGGGGGAUGACGGUACCGGAAGAAUAAGCACCGGCUAACUACGUGCCAGCAGCCGCGGUAAUACGUAGGGUGCAAGCGUUAAUCGGAAUUACUGGGCGUAAAGCGUGCGCAGGCGGUUUGCUAAGACCGAUGUGAAAUCCCCGGGCUCAACCUGGGAACUGCAUUGGUGACUGGCAGGCUAGAGUAUGGCAGAGGAGGGUAGAAUUCCACGUGUAGCAGUGAAAUGCGUAGAGAUGUGGAGGAAUACCGAUGGCGAAGGCAGCCCCCUGGGGCCAAAUACUGACGCUCAUGCACGAAAAGCGUGGGGAGCAAACAGGAUUAGAUACCCUGGUAGUCCACGCCCUAAACGAUGUCAACUAGUUGUUGGGGACUUCAUUUCCUUGUAACGUAGCUAACGCGUGAAGUUGACCG
Molecule: ribosomal RNA, 526 nt
Filed under: uncultured bacterium
Lineage: Bacteria
Description: partial 16S ribosomal RNA
Rfam family: Bacterial small subunit ribosomal RNA
Source: RNAcentral